RNAcentral lists this ribosomal RNA (314 nucleotides) under uncultured Glomus. RNAcentral describes it as "partial 18S ribosomal RNA". The record is from RNAcentral. Lineage: Eukaryota; Fungi; Glomeromycota; Glomeromycetes; Glomerales; Glomeraceae.
CGUAAGGCGCCGAAUGAGUCAUUAAAAAAUUAACAUCAUCCGAUCCCUAGUCGGCAUAGUUUAUGGUUAAGACUACGACGGUAUCUGAUCGUCUUCGAUCCCCUAACUUUCGUUCUUGAUUAAUGAAAACAUCCUUGGCAAAUGCUUUUCGCAGUAGUUAGUCUUCAAUAAAUCCAAGAAUUUCACCUCUGACAAUUGAAUACUAAUGCCCCCAACUAUCCCUAUUAAUCAUUACGUCAAACCUAGAAACCAACAAAAUAGGAUCGAACGUCCUAUUUCAUUAUUCCAUGCUAAUGUAUUCAAGCGUUAGCUUG